AACGAACGCUGGCGGCAGGCCUAACACAUGCAAGUCGAGCGCACCUUCGGGUGAGCGGCGGACGGGUUAGUAACGCGUGGGAAUAUGCCCAAAGGUACGGAAUAGCCUCUGGAAACGGAGAGUAAUACCGUAUGUGCCCUUCGGGGGAAAGAUUUAUCGCCUUUGGAUUAGCCCGCGUUGGAUUAGGUAGUUGGUGGGGUAAAAGCCUACCAAGCCGACGAUCCAUAGCUGGUUUGAGAGGAUGAUCAGCAACACUGGGACUGAGACACGGCCCAGACUCCUACGGGAGGCAGCAGUGGGGAAUCUUAGACAAUGGGGGAAACCCUGAUCUAGCCAUGCCGCGUGAGUGAAGAAGGCCCUAGGGUCGUAAAGCUCUUUCGCCAGGGAAGAUAAUGACGGUACCUGGUAAAGAAACCCCGGCUAACUCCGUGCCAGCCGCCGCCGUAAGAC
Molecule: ribosomal RNA, 450 nt
Filed under: uncultured bacterium
Lineage: Bacteria
Description: bacterial SSU rRNA
Rfam family: Bacterial small subunit ribosomal RNA
Source: RNAcentral